ACGGGACCCCGCACAAGCGGUGGAUCAUGUUGUUUAAUUCGAUGAUACGCGAAGAACCUUACCAGGUCUUGACAUCCCCCGCGAUGCUUUAGAGAUAAAGCGGAGGUAUUCGGGGAGACAGGUGGUGCAUGGUUGUCGUCAGCUCGUGUCGUGAGAUGUUGGGUUAAGUCCCGCAACGAGCGCAACCCUAUUGCUAGUUACCAUCAUUAAGUUGGGGACUCUAGCGAGACUGCCAGUGAUAAACUGGAGGAAGGUGGGGAUGACGUCAAAUCAUCAUGCCCCUUAUGACCUGGGCUACAAACGUGAUACAAUGGCUGGAACAAAGGGAUGCGAAGCAGUGAUGUGGAGCGAAACCCAUAAAAACAGUCUCAGUUCGGAUUGAAGUCUGCAACUCGACUUCAUGAAGUCGGAAUCGCUAGUAAUCGCGGAUCAGAACGCCGCGGUGAAUACGUUCUCGGGGUUU
RNAcentral lists this ribosomal RNA (463 nucleotides) under uncultured Acholeplasma sp. RNAcentral's name for it is "bacterial SSU rRNA". It matches the Rfam family "Bacterial small subunit ribosomal RNA", at positions 913 to 1382 of the family's 1533-position model. The record is from RNAcentral. Lineage: Bacteria; Bacillati; Mycoplasmatota; Mollicutes; Acholeplasmatales; Acholeplasmataceae.